RNAcentral lists this ribosomal RNA (308 nucleotides) under uncultured bacterium. Its description in RNAcentral is "bacterial SSU rRNA". It matches the Rfam family "Bacterial small subunit ribosomal RNA", at positions 28 to 335 of the family's 1533-position model. The record is from RNAcentral.
GACGAACGCUGGCGGCGUGCUUAACACAUGCAAGUCGAGCGGUAAGGCCCUUUCGGGGGUACACGAGCGGCGAACGGGUGAGUAACACGUGGGUGACCUGCCCUCAGCUCUGGGAUAAGCCUGGGAAACUGGGUCUAAUACCGGACUAUGACUCCAUGACGCAUGUUGUGGGGUGGAAAGCCUUGUGCGGCUGAGGAUGGGCCCGCGGCCUAUCAGCUUGUUGGUGGGGUGANGGCCUACCAAGGCGACGACGGGUAGCCGGCCUGAGAGGGCGACCGGCCACGACUGGGACUGAGACACGGCCCAGA